This 498-nucleotide ribosomal RNA is filed under the name uncultured bacterium. RNAcentral's name for it is "partial 16S ribosomal RNA". It matches the Rfam family "Bacterial small subunit ribosomal RNA", at positions 899 to 1397 of the family's 1533-position model. The record is from RNAcentral.
ACUCAAAUGAAUUGACGGGGGCCCGCACAAGCGGUGGAGCAUGUGGUUUAAUUCGAUGCAACGCGCAGAACCUUACCUGGACUUGACAUGGGGGUGACCGGACGAGAGAUCGUCCUUUCUCUUCGGAGACACCCCGCACAGGUGCUGCAUGGCUGUCGUCAGCUCGUGUCGUGAGAUGUUCGGUUAAGUCCGGCAACGAGCGCAACCCUCGUCCUUAGUUGCCAUCAUUAAGUUGGGCACUCUAGGGAGACUGCCCGGGUCAACCGGGAGGAAGGUGGGGACGACGUCAAGUCCUCAUGGCCCUUACGUCCAGGGCUACACACGUGCUACAAUGGUCGGUACAGUGGGUCGCAAUACCGCGAGGUGGAGCUAAUCCCCAAAGCCGGCCUCAGUUCGGAUUGGAGUCUGCAACUCGACUCCAUGAAGCUGGAAUCGCUAGUAAUCGUGGAUCAGAAUGCCACGGUGAAUACGUUCCCGGGCCUUGUACACACCGCCCGU